GAUGAACGCUGGCGGCGUGCCUAAUACAUGCAAGUCGAACGGACUCUUAUCGGUUCAUCGCUUCACAUCAUCGGAUGGGAUGCGGCGAACCAUACGAGUUAGUGGCGGACGGGUGAGUAACACGUUGGUACCUGCCCCGAAGUGGGGAAUAACUGCCCGAAAGGGUAGCUAAUACCGCAUAUUGCCGAAAGGUGAAAGCAGU
This 202-nucleotide ribosomal RNA is filed under the name uncultured bacterium. RNAcentral describes it as "partial 16S ribosomal RNA". It matches the Rfam family "Bacterial small subunit ribosomal RNA", at positions 28 to 210 of the family's 1533-position model. The record is from RNAcentral.